GGCCGAAUAUCCAUGGAUAUUGAUAAAAAUUAAAACUAAAAAUCACGACAUUUGUAAAAACAAGUGCAGGCGUCUACGUUAGUGCACACCGCCACAGUGCCUUUGAUGGGGUGUUUCUUUAGGCAAGUACUCAAGCAAACCGGAGUUUGACAUUUAUCCAUCCACAUCGUGUCAUCGCAAUAAUAAUUAAUCCCGCCGUUCGCUGUCGAUUCCGCUGCAAAUAAAUAAAUUCAGAAUUUCGCAAAAGUUAAUUUUAUAAAUUAUAUGACAUUUAAUCUUUGAACAGAACGAGAAGUUAGAAGGGUCACCUGAACACAGAAGGGCCACCAGGCAGAAACAGAAGAAUUGUAGCUUUGCCAUUGUUCUAGUAACGUACCCGUUUGAGCUUACAAG
Molecule: long non-coding RNA, 393 nt
Filed under: Daucus carota (carrot)
Lineage: Eukaryota; Viridiplantae; Streptophyta; Magnoliopsida; Apiales; Apiaceae
Description: long non-coding RNA (DCAR_LNC003246)
Source: RNAcentral